RNAcentral lists this ribosomal RNA (394 nucleotides) under uncultured Cercozoa. Its description in RNAcentral is "SSU rRNA". It matches the Rfam family "Eukaryotic small subunit ribosomal RNA", at positions 585 to 972 of the family's 1831-position model. The record is from RNAcentral. Lineage: Eukaryota; Cercozoa.
CCAGCUCCAAUAGCGUAUAUUAAAGUUGUUGCAGUUAAAAAGCUCGUAGUUGGAUUUCUGGCGUGGCGCCGCCGGCCCGGCAUCCUAGUGGUGCUGUGUUGUCGGUCGGCGCCUGCCAUCUUUUCGGAACAACCAGCGUGCCCUUCACUGGGUGGCGUUGGCGACUCCGAUCGUUUACUUUGAAAAAAUUAGAGUGUUCAAAGCAGGCUUACCGCUGUGAAUACAUUAGCAUGGAAUAAUAACAUAGGACUUUGGUCUUAUUUUGUUGGUUUCUAGGACUGAAGUAAUGAUUGAUAGGGAUAGUUGGGGGUGCUCGUAUUCAGGGGCCAGAGGUGAAAUUCUAUGAUUCCCUGAAGACGAACUUAUGCGAAAGCAUUCACCAAGGAUGUCUUCU